RNAcentral lists this ribosomal RNA (449 nucleotides) under uncultured bacterium. RNAcentral's name for it is "partial 16S ribosomal RNA". It matches the Rfam family "Bacterial small subunit ribosomal RNA", at positions 29 to 523 of the family's 1533-position model. The record is from RNAcentral.
AACGAACGCUGGCGGCAUGCCUAACACAUGCAAGUCGAACGAAGGCUUCGGCCUUAGUGGCGCACGGGUGCGUAACGCGUGGGAAUCUGCCUUCAGGUACGGAAUAACUCCUCGAAAGGGGUGCUAAUACCGUAUGAUGACGUAAGUCCAAAGAUUUAUCGCCUGAAGAUGAGCCCGCGUAGGAUUAGCUAGUUGGUGGGGUAAAGGCCUACCAAGGCGACGAUCCUUAGCUGGUCUGAGAGGAUGAUCAGCCACACUGGGACUGAGACACGGCCCAGACUCCUACGGGAGGCAGCAGUGGGGAAUAUUGGACAAUGGGCGAAAGCCUGAUCCAGCAAUGCCGCGUGAGUGAUGAAGGCCUUAGGGUUGUAAAGCUCUUUUACCCGGGAAGAUAAUGACGGUACCGGGAGAAUAAGCCCCGGCUAACUCCGUGCCAGCCGCCGCUGUAA